Vespa velutina is the source of this 603-nucleotide long non-coding RNA. RefSeq lists it as uncharacterized. Lineage: Eukaryota; Metazoa; Arthropoda; Insecta; Hymenoptera; Vespidae. The transcript has 3 exons. The record is from RefSeq and is a predicted model, not a curated record.
AAAAAACAAUUCAUCAAUUUUUUCAUGAUACCUAUCGAUAAACUCGUUAAUGGAUUUUUUGUCUAUUUCUAAUCUAAUAUUCUAUGUUAUCGUACGUAAACAUAACGUUAGAUGGAAAAAUUCAUUUGUUUGUCUAUGGUACAGUGACGAGUCGAACGCUAAAUGACGUAACGCGCAUGAGCACCGCGAUAUAUCUACGGUCUUGCCGGUAACGUAUCGCCAUUUUGAGUUCGGUGACUAGCUAUUUGGACACGGGAUCGGUACCGUCCUCGUUUAUUGCAGAUUUCCAAGAAUUCAACUAAGGAUCGGAGAAGAACAGGAGAGAAUAAGAUGGAGAGAAGAUAUCAUCCGCGCUUUGUAAGCCAUCGUAGGAUACUAACGUCGUAUAAAUAAGGAAAUUCGUUUUCACGAGAGAAUGUAAACAGAAUACAGUCGGGCAUUUGGCUUUACAGUUGAGAGACUAGGGGGUUAAACCUCCUCAGAGUAAUACGAUAUCUGGAGGCGACAUAGCCACGAAUUUUCACGAAUAACAUAUAUAUAUAUAUAUAUAUAUAUAUAUAGGGUGUCCAAAAAGGCAUAGGAUGAAACUUAUAUUACGUAUUA